GACGAACGCUGGCGGCGUGCCUAAUACAUGCAAGUAGAACGCUGAAGGAGGAGCUUGCUUCUCUGGAUGAGUUGCGAACGGGUGAGUAACGCGUAGGUAACCUGCCUGGUAGCGGGGGAUAACUAUUGGAAACGAUAGCUAAUACCGCAUAAGAGUAGAUGUUGCAUGACAUUUGCUUAAAAGGUGCAAUUGCAUCACUACCAGAUGGACCUGCGUUGUAUUAGCUAGUUGGUGAGGUAACGGCUCACCAAGGCGACGAUACAUAGCCGACCUGAGAGGGUGAUCGGCCACACUGGGACUGAGACACGGCCCAGACUCCUACGGGAGGCAGCAGUAGGGAAUCUUCGGCAAUGGACGGAAGUCUGACCGAGCAACGCCGCGUGAGUGAAGAAGGUUUUCGGAUCGUAAAGCUCUGUUGUAAGAGAAGAACGAGUGUGAGAGUGGAAAGUUCACACUGUGAC
RNAcentral lists this ribosomal RNA (461 nucleotides) under Streptococcus mitis. Its description in RNAcentral is "bacterial SSU rRNA". It matches the Rfam family "Bacterial small subunit ribosomal RNA", at positions 28 to 473 of the family's 1533-position model. Lineage: Bacteria; Bacillati; Bacillota; Bacilli; Lactobacillales; Streptococcaceae. The record is from RNAcentral.